AUACUUACCUGGCCAUGGGAACACCAUGAAAUCAAGAAGGCGUUCCCCCAGGGCGAGGCCUCGUCCAUUGCCUCCGCCCUGCUGACCCCUGCGAUUCCCCAAUGUGGGAAUCUCGACUGCAAUAAUUUAUGGUUAGUGGGGGACUGCGUUCCGCCGCUCUCCCCUG
Cyprinus carpio (common carp) is the source of this 166-nucleotide small nuclear RNA. RefSeq annotates it as U1 spliceosomal RNA. The transcript has a single exon. Lineage: Eukaryota; Metazoa; Chordata; Actinopteri; Cypriniformes; Cyprinidae. The record is from RefSeq and is a predicted model, not a curated record.